Molecule: ribosomal RNA, 997 nt
Filed under: uncultured organism
Description: bacterial SSU rRNA
Rfam family: Bacterial small subunit ribosomal RNA
Source: RNAcentral
GGGGGAUAUUGCACAAUGGGGGAAACCCUGAUGCAGCGACGCCGCGUGGAGGAAGAAGGUUUUCGGAUUGUAAACUCCUGUCGUUAGGGACGAUAAUGACGGUACCUAACAAGAAAGCACCGGCUAACUACGUGCCAGCAGCCGCGGUAAAACGUAGGGUGCAAGCGUUGUCCGGAAUUACUGGGUGUAAAGGGAGCGCAGGCGGGAAGACAAGUUGGAAGUGAAAACCAUGGGCUCAACCCAUGAAUUGCUUUCAAAACUGUUUUUCUUGAGUAGUGCAGAGGUAGAUGGAAUUCCCGGUGUAGCGGUGGAAUGCGUAGAUAUCGGGAGGAACACCAGUGGCGAAGGCGGUCUACUGGGCACCAACUGACGCUGAGGCUCGAAAGCAUGGGUAGCAAACAGGAUUAGAUACCCUGGUAGUCCAUGCCGUAAACGAUGAUUACUAGGUGUUGGGGGAUUGACCCCCUCAGUGCCGCAGUUAACACAAUAAGUAAUCCACCUGGGGAGUACGACCGCAAGGUUGAAACUCAAAGGAAUUGACGGGGGCCCGCACAAGCAGUGGAGUAUGUGGUUUAAUUCGAAGCAACGCGAAGAACCUUACCAGGUCUUGACAUCCGAUGCAUAGCACAGAGAUGUGUGAAAUCCUUCGGGACAUCGAGACAGGUGGUGCAUGGUUGUCGUCAGCUCGUGUCGUGAGAUGUUGGGUUAAGUCCCGCAACGAGCGCAACCUUUAUUGCCAGUUACUACGUUAAGAGGACUCUGGCGAGACUGCCGUUGACAAAACGGAGGAAGGUGGGGAUGACGUCAAAUCAUCAUGCCCUUUAUGACCUGGGCUACACACGUACUACAAUGGCGUUAAACAAAGAGAAGCAAGACCGCGAGGUGGAGCAAAACUCAAAAACAACGUCUCAGUUCAGAUUGCAGGCUGCAACUCGCCUGCAUGAAGUCGGAAUUGCUAGUAAUCGCGGAUCAGCAUGCCGCGGUGAAUACGUUCCCG